AGUUGCAGGAAAGUUUUCUGGUUCAAAACCAGAGAAGGGGGAAGAGCCUUGCAGCAAAGAAGAUGGAUGGGAAGUAUGGUGUUCUCUGUCAUUCUUCAACAUCUUUUGAGCAUCAACAGAGCAUGCACUUGAAGAAGAACUAAAAGGUAAUGAUGCUAGCCAUGUUGAGACACGAUAUUUUUGGUUCUCUUUAUAUGUAUUGCCCAGAGAUGUAACCGAGCCACUUAAAUAAGGUAUAUGCUUAGGAAGAAAACCAUUCCUGAAGGUAGAACUACCUCUAUCACUCAGCAGACCAGGCUUGACAUAAUUGUCCGCAGGUAAACUCUGACCUAUACUGGUUUGUCUUACAUCCUUAGAUGGCUCGGAAUCAUCUGUAGAUGCUUGAAACUGUUGAGAUCCAAGGGAAGUGCCAAUAGAUUUAUCCUUACUAUGGAUUAAAGGAGAUGAUGCUGUCCCAUUUCUAGCUGAUGAAGGCAAUCUGUCAGAAGAACCAGGUGAGUGUGGCCUUGAUUUUUCAGCAGUAUUUUGAAUACCUGAUGCAUAAAGUUCUUGUAAGAUAUCACAGUAGAGAAGGUUCUGGAUCAUCCUUAAUGCAGAAAAUUAGUUGUACCUUCAUCAAGCUGAACAGCUAUUUUCUCAUCUGCUACAGCUGCAUCUUCCUCAGAUUGUUGUCUAGGAUUAGUACCACUAUCUUUUAUGUGAAUAAAUUUACAUGAACUUCCUUUGACACACCACCCUCUAGCAAAGAAGUCACAAAUAAGUGCAGGGCGUUUGUUCUCGCUAUUAAACUCAGCACCAGGGUACAGACUUCCAGUACUAGUUUGCGGAGCAGAAGAUCUGUAAAACCUAUUUGUUAGUAAAAUAAUGGACAACUAGUCUUGGGAAGGUAGAAAUUUACUAGCAAAAAGGACACAAUAAGAAGCUUGGGUUCAAUCUACGUUACAGAAGGCAUAUAUCACUAACCUUGACUUUAUACUCCGUUUAUUAUUCUCUGUUUGCAUGCCCAUUUGCUCGCUUUUUUGCUCAAAACCAUGACUACUAACUCCGACACCUGAGUGAUAUCUGCCCAGUAUUGAAAUAACAUCAUUGAUAGCUAUCUCUUUGCCAUCAACACUUAUUAGAUUAGUAGCCUCAUACAUAAUCUCAUUGACCUUGCUUCUAGUAUGCUGUUCAUGGUGGUCUUCAUGGGCCUUUCUUUCAAAAAUGACUCGAGCAUCUUGUCCAUUAACCCCAUAUUCUUGGAUUGCCUUUUCAUUUGCAGGCCAUUUUCCAGAUAUUGGAUACUUUGAACCGUUGUAGUUUUUGCAUAGAUCCUCCCUUUGAGUUGCCCAUGGCUCAUCUGGAAGACUACAUAAGUUGAAACUA
RNAcentral lists this long non-coding RNA (1365 nucleotides) under Gossypium barbadense (sea-island cotton). RNAcentral's name for it is "long non-coding RNA (GBAR_LNC003808)". Lineage: Eukaryota; Viridiplantae; Streptophyta; Magnoliopsida; Malvales; Malvaceae. The record is from RNAcentral.